Molecule: ribosomal RNA, 449 nt
Filed under: uncultured bacterium
Lineage: Bacteria
Description: SSU rRNA
Rfam family: Bacterial small subunit ribosomal RNA
Source: RNAcentral
AGGAUGAACGCUGGCGGUCUGCUUAACACAUGCAAGUCGAACGGAGUAGCAAUACUUAGUGGCGGACGGGUGAGUAACGCGUGAGAAUCUACCUUCAGGACGGAGACAACAGUUGGAAACGACUGCUAACCCCCGAUGUACCGAAAGGGCAAAUAUUUAUAGCCUGAAGAAGAGCUCGCGUCCGAUUAGCUAGUUGGAGAGGUAAAAGCUCACCAAGGCGACGAUCGGUAGCUGGUCUGAGAGGACGAUCAGCCACACUGGGACUGAGACACGGCCCAGACUCCUACGGGAGGCAGCAGUGGGGAAUAUUGCACAAUGGGCGAAAGCCUGAUGCAGCGACGCCGCGUGAGGGAUGACGGCCUUCGGGUUGUAAACCUCUUUCAGCCUCGACGAAGCGAAGUGACGGUAGAGGCAGAAGAAGCACCGGCCAACUACGUGCCAGCAGCCGC